UUACAGCAAUGAGAGAGUAACCAACACCAUCCAUGUCAACACACGUUGGGAUUGGAGCUCAGCGGCUGAAAACACAAACUGCUCUUCUGGAGGACCUGACUUCAGCUCCCAGUAUCCACACUGGAGGGCCGGUAACUACCCAUAACUCCAGUUCCAGGCAUCUGAUGCCCUCUUCUGGUCUCUGCCAAGAGAUCCCCCUCUCUAGUACCAAAAAGAUGUGUGACCCCAGUUUGAUCAGUAAAAAAAUUUUCUGAGUCCUCAUGUAUAAGCCCAAGAGGGAGACAGAGAGACCAAAGCUGCCAGUGCCAGUGUACCCUUCUACCAUGACAAAUGAACUCAUCACCUUUGGGUGAGGUCAGGGGAAGACAGAAGAGGGACCAAACGGCCUAAAACAUAAGACUAAAGACUUACCUUUCAGUGGACAGUGCAAAAUGGGAGAGAACCCAAGUAACAGCAGGGCCAGGAAUCUAGAGGGGAGACGUCCGUCCAUUUAAAGUUUCUUUAGAGUUAUUCUUGUCAUGUAAGAUCACCUUGACUAGAAAUGCAGUCCGCAGGAGCUCACCCUGAACAGAUGGCCUCAUGGAAGGGGCUGAGUGUUGUAGAAACCUCAGAAGAUCAGCUUCAAAAGAGACUCCAGCCUCGGACUUCCUCGUCAAAUCAAGGACUGGAGGAUGGGCGUGGGAGAAGCGUUCAGCCACACUGGCCUUGGAAGCUGCACCAUAAAGUGGGGAUUCCAGGCACAGAAAUGUGAUGAGCUGCAUCUAUUUGACCUUCACAAGGGUUUUAAGCUCCAGCAAAGGAUGUGUUGAGCCUCACGUGAGGAAAGGAGAGUGAGAGGAAGAGCAGGUAAAGCUUUUCCGACCUUCCUUGGGGAAUAGCUGGUGUUAAUUAAAUGCAUCAAGCUGGUCCUGGGAGUGUGUCUAAUGCCAAGUAACCUUCAUCUUUGGCCUGUUAUGCCAAACCUUGGCUUUGAAGAAAAACAGCAAGCCUUUGUCCUUGGUGUGUGUGUAUGGGGGGCGGGGUGUGACACUAUACAAUGCCCUGUCUUAUUGAAUUAAAAAGUGAAUUCUAAAGUUAGAAUAUAUGUAAUUGGCUAGUAGAAAGCUUGAUGGUUAAAUUGAUGAGAUUAUGACACAUUUCUAGUCAGCUAAGAGUUAAUGAAUUAGACACUCUGUUUAACCUAGCAAGAUGAAAAAUCUGUGCUGCUUUUUCACAACAUGGCUCAGCUUUUUUUCAAUCAUGAAACUUAGCUAAUGAAAAAGAAUAUAGUUAAAUUAAACAAAUUUAAUACUCCCAGGAUUUACUGUGGGUUUUAAAAUUGGUGUCAGUGUGUUUGAUUGGACCUCUCUGUUGCAAGAACUUUCCCUGGGGCAGUGUGAACAGGGAUCUGCUCACCUGAGAGGUACCAACGGCAGACCAAAGGAAAAAUCCUACCUAAGCUUAGCUUGGUGAACCAGUGAGGCUAUUGUGGAUGCUUACAGAAGUAAGACAGUCAUAUCACCAAAAUGUCUACCACAAGAAGUGAUUUUUUUUUAAUUUGUGAGCUGUUUGCCAUCUCUACCACAGUGAGCGAUACAACCAAUUUGUGAAUACAAUUCCCAGAUGCAUGUACAUGCCUGCAGAUGAUCCAGCUCUC
This is a long non-coding RNA of Meriones unguiculatus (Mongolian gerbil), 1636 nucleotides long. RefSeq lists it as uncharacterized. The transcript has 3 exons. The record is from RefSeq and is a predicted model, not a curated record. Lineage: Eukaryota; Metazoa; Chordata; Mammalia; Rodentia; Muridae.